RNAcentral lists this unclassified non-coding RNA (331 nucleotides) under Bombus terrestris (buff-tailed bumblebee). RNAcentral describes it as "misc RNA ENSBTSG00005024380.1". Lineage: Eukaryota; Metazoa; Arthropoda; Insecta; Hymenoptera; Apidae. The record is from RNAcentral.
CCUUUCUUCCUACUCUACUCGUGCUUCUUGCUCGCAACCAGUGUCGCUGGAGACUUUGCAGGCUUGUCAGAGACGUAGAACGAAGUUUUUCACGUGGACGAGGAGGUUGGUUCUCGUCGGUUCUCCAGCCUGGAAGGGGAUGCAAGAAGGUGUGGCUGAAAAUGUUGCUCCUGCUAGACGAAAUGGAAGGAUCGGCGAGGAGGAGGUGGAAGAACUUUACUAAAAUUUGAUGAAAGGAACUUUAGGUAGAGACGACGUUUCUCAUGGAAGAAUUGGCCGAAGGUGGAGAAAUUGAGGCGAAAUUUGAUGAAACGAACGUCGAGAGGAAAAG